ACCUCCAUAUGCUGCAGGAGCGGCUCAAUAAAUGGCAAAAAGACGAAAAAAAAAGAAGCAACUGUUUAUAAGGUACACUAGGAUUAAACUGACAAGAGGUGGUGAAGCACCCUGAGACCUGCUUGGGGAGGGGCGAGAGUUGUAACCCAAACCAUUAGAACUGCAGUGUGGUGGGGAGGAUGCCUGGAGGGUGCUGUUGGUCAAGGGUCACCGUAGCCAAGGGGCAGGGAGAGAGCCCCCAGGAUCAACACCUCCCCUGCUCUCGCUCCGCACUGUACCUGCUAGUGUGCGGCUGCUGGGUGUCACCUUCCAGAGUGAUGUCAGGGCAGGGGGAGGACCACCCAUUGCAGGCUCCACCCCCUGAGAAAGGUGGAGCAAUAUCUCUUCUGUGGACCGGCCGGAGGGAGGCCUGGUUCCUUCAGUCUGUCCAUGGCCGGCUGUGUGGACCACUGCGGGAGCAGAGAAGAAAAACACAGGCCCUCCUCCCUCUGGGACUUUGGGGAUGGGAGGGCAUGUGUUGGGGUUGUUAUGAGUAUGGCUGGACUGUGCUCACAUUCACAGAUACACAGACACACACAACUGCAGCUGGCGAGUCAGGUGAGAAAGAGCCCCAGACAUUCAUGUGGCUGCUUCUUGGCCAAAGUCCUCAUGCCUGUGGCUCAGGCCCAGCUUAGGAGGCCAAGAAGCAGAUGCUGAGCCCGGAAGUGAUGAUCCAGGAGACUGGGGCCUGGGUGAGGGGGUUGGAGAUUGGUGCAGGCCUGUGACCCCACCUGUCCCCUGGGUACAUCAGGGAUUUGGCUGCUCUGUACUCAGAACCUGUGGGCACCCCUUCCCCUUCCUUCCUGGCAUGUACACACCUUCAGGAUUCUCUUUUAUGUGUCGGUCCCAGAGGAGACACCGAGAGCUUUAAUGAAUGAUAGAUUUCUUCAUUCAUUCAUUCAUUCAUUCACUCACUCAACAAGUAUUUUUUGGAGCUGUCCCCAAACUAACAUCACUCAUAGUGCUCUAUUCGUGCUUGAUGCUGGAGCGAGAGUGGUGAACAAGGUAAUUAGCAUCUUUGUCCAGCUUCUUCUUUUGAGGGAGAGACAGAUAUAAAGUGGGAACCAGGGAGUGGUAAGCAGGUUGACAAGGGUGGGACAGUGGGCAACAGGGACUCACUGUAGGGAAACCUGGCCUGGGCUAAGGUGUCAGGGCAGGAGGCCUGGAGAAGUGACAGUUGGAUGAGAGCUGAGCAAUAGGCGGGAAUAGGCCUGGCAAAGGGACUGGGGUGAGGGGGGUGCGUAGCAUAUCUUCAAGCAGGAGCAUGAAGUCCGCUUUGGUUGGGCCGCGUGUUGCGAGAGGCUGAAAGGAAGGCAAAGAGGCUGGAGAGGUUGGGGCCAGAUCAUGCAGCCACCUGGAAAGAUUUAUCUUGCAGGCAAUGGGGUUGCCACUGGAGGGAUUUUAAGCAGAGGAUGAAUGUAAUCAGAUUUUUUUGUUUUGGAACAAUAGUCUGGCUGCUGGGUGGAGACUGAUGGGGUGGGGUGUGUUGAGAGCAGUGACCCAGAGAUGAUGGUGGCCUAGAAAGUCUAGGCCCCCUGCCUCCCCUGAAGUCACCCCAAGACAGUGCCAGUCUUGGUGCAGACCCAAAUGUUGGGAUUUCAGAGGUGCCCUUGUUUGCAAAUUAUGUGCACCGCCACCCCCACCUUCUAUGAAUUUCUAUCUUUAGGGGGUGGUUGCUGGGCUCAGAGCUUCCUGUUCUAGUUAAAUGAAAACAUCUUGGAGAGUUAAGUCAGUCUGUCUUGGUGGUAGGUAGACUUUAAUCAUGGGGCCUGGUCUGACUCACUUCCCAUUUCCCAGCCUCAGACACCUUAUCUAUAUAUAUGGCAGGUCAAGGAGGAUUCAUGGAGGCCUUGAGAACAGCAGGCUAUACAAAGGCUCAUGGACAAUGCGAGAGCCCUGUGGAUUCUGCCAGAGAUCAGAUCUGAUCCCAAAUCUGGGACUCCGCUUCCUCCCGCACCAGGCUUAUCUGGGCCCCUGGAGGAAAGAAGCCCUCUGUUUGCCAGUUCAGGAAACUUGUAACUUGGCUCACCUGUCUGCCCUGCCUGCUAUGAGGAGCUUCAGCUGCAGACCCACAGCUCCUUGCGGGCCUUUUCUUCUGAACUCAUCACACUUGCUUAUUUGCUUGAAAGCCAUUCCCCCACUUCCAACACGGGCUUGCUUGCGAGUGAGCCGUCUCUCCCAGGAGUUCCCAGAGAAGUUAUCCAGGUCUUGGCAGGAAUGGCUGGUGUUCCUAAGAAGGACAUUUCAAAACAUGGGCAUCAGAAGACCUGACUGCAAUCCUGGUUCCAUCACAUUGCUUUGACUUUAACCUUGAACAGAUGACCAAGCCUCAUUUUCCCCACCUGUAACUUCUUAGCAUUUUAGUGAGCUGCCCAGGCCAGAGCUUAGCAGAGGGCAGAGACCAGCCCUGCUAGUCUCUUUUGUUCUAGUUUGGAAGCUGGAGGCUUCUUUUUGCUCAUGAAGCUGCUCUGGGAUGGCCAGUGUGGGUGGUGCUAGCCUCAUGCCCUUAGAGCCGGUGUUGUAGGGUGAUUUGUGAAAUGGAUUUGACUUGUUAGGCUCUUAGUUUUCUCUUUCCCCAGCCAGAUAAAAGAAAGACUUUGAGAUCUUUAUGAGAGCAAGAGAGUAGGACUGGACGAACCCCAGGACCCACACCAGACCCAUGAUGACCACGAUGGUUUCUCGUGAAGCAGCCCUGAAACUGAGGUCUCCUGGUGCCCAGAUUGAAGAAACAACUGAAAAGGGCUAUGGGGAACUUCUGCCCAUUACAGCAAUUGGACAAUGAUGCGGAACUCUCGCUUCGAUGAGAAGAUUGACUCCGAUUAUAGAAUCACAAGACCCCAGCUAGAUCCUGGAAUCUGUUUUCCUGAUUGCCUUGUCUUGGGAGUGUGGUGUUUCUGAAGGACUUGGAUGACGAUCUUUGUAGAUGCCCAGUAAAUGGAAGCCAACCCAUAAGCUGAAGCAAAACCAAACAAGCCCAGUAAAAUGAGGAUGAGCCCAUAACUAAACCCACAGCCUAGAGAAAGCCCUCCCCUCAUGCUGCUUCCUUCAGAAGGUUAAAACCCAGAAGAUAAUUGUCGGAACAAAUAUGACUCAAAGAAAUCUGCAUGAGACAGCCCAAAUGUCAUGAUCUUGGCAGGUUGCGGCAUUGAAAAGUACAAAUUUGAGAACUGCUGUUAGUCUUAUUAGGAUAAUUUUUCCUGAGGAGAACGAUCAAGAUGGUGGAGUAGUAGGAUGUGGAGCUCACUUCCUCCCACAGAUAAAUCAAAAAUAUAUCUACAUGUGGAACAGUUUGCGCAGAAGACCUCAGACUUCUAAAAGGGCAAGAAGAAUCUCCAUGUUACUGUAUAGGACAGAAGAAAAAAAAAGAGAUAGGAAUUGGGAUGUGACCUAUGCCCCUGAGAGGGAGCUGUGAAAGAUGAAGUUUCCCACACCCUGGGGAGCCCCCUAACUGGUCAGGAGAUCACCAGGACAUAGGGGGAGCUUUAGAGCCAUGGAGAAUAGCACAGCAACAGGUUUGCAGAACAGAGAGACUUGCACAAAUGGCCUAUGGCACUGCCCUGCUCUCUUCAAUUUGAGAUAUGCAUCCACUGGUGUAGGCAGGGCUGAAGCUCAGAAUUUGGAGGUCAGACCCAGGGAGAGGACUAGGGAUGACUGCCUGGAGAUGGCCUGAAGGGACAGGAGUGUGGUGCAACUGCAACUGAUAGUAUACAUUGGGGGAUCCUAGACCUGCUGUAAAUGAGAGGCAUUAUUGUUGAGGAACUAGGACCCACCAUAACAGACUUUCUUCAUGUGAACGAUCUCAGCCAAGAGGGCACUGCCUCUGUGGCCCUGGAAACAGGUGCACACAGCCACUGCCACAGCCCCAGGCUCCGUGGACAGCAGCCACUGCUGCUGUGGUUCUAGGAGCAGGCACUAGCCUUUGCACCUGCACACCCACUAUCCAGGGGAUAACAGUCAGCACAUGCUGAGGAAACAGGUGGGAAGCAUCCAUACAAAAAAUGGCCCUUACACCAAAAAUAUUAAACCCCUGCAAGCUACAGAGGGAUGUUCGCACAUAAAAAAAUAGCCCUCCAAGACCACAGUAGAUAACUGUUUCUCCUUAACUCACAGAGUAAGAGAAAUAUAAGUAAAACAAAGAAGCAGAGGAAAUACUCCCAAUUUCAGGGAAUUCUCCUGAAAGAACAAUGAAACAGACCUCUUCAGUCUAAUAUACACUGAGUCUGAAAAAGAAAUAAUGAAAAUGCUGAAGGAAUUAAGAAAGGUUAUCAACAGAAAUAAAGAUUACUGUAAAAAGGAACUGGAAACUACUAGUAGAAGCCAAGAAAAAUUAGAAAAUUCAUUUGUUGAGAUGAAAGCUAAACUAAAGUCAAUGAAUAGCAGAAUGAAUAAUGCAGAAGAACAAAUCAGUGAUCUGGAAGAUAGAAUAAUGGAAAUCAUACAAUUAGAAGAGCAAAGAAAACCAAAUUUAAAAAA
Non-coding RNA from Sus scrofa (pig), 4512 nucleotides. The record is from RefSeq and is a predicted model, not a curated record. Lineage: Eukaryota; Metazoa; Chordata; Mammalia; Artiodactyla; Suidae.